Molecule: ribosomal RNA, 121 nt
Filed under: uncultured bacterium
Lineage: Bacteria
Description: partial 16S ribosomal RNA
Rfam family: Bacterial small subunit ribosomal RNA
Source: RNAcentral
CUCCUACGGGAGGCAGCAGUGGGGAAUAUUGGGCAAUGGGCGAAAGCCUGACCCAGCAACGCCGCGUGAAGGAAGAAGGCCUUCGGGUUGUAAACUUCUUUUACCAGGGACGAACACAAUG